Molecule: unclassified non-coding RNA, 220 nt
Filed under: Hevea brasiliensis (rubber tree)
Lineage: Eukaryota; Viridiplantae; Streptophyta; Magnoliopsida; Malpighiales; Euphorbiaceae
Source: RNAcentral
GACCCAUCUCUCUCCUCCGCCGCUUCCUUCACUGCCCCGUUCCUCCUUCGCUUUCGUUUCUCGCAUCUUCUUCCGCCCUGUUUCCGCCUCUGCUUUCCCUUGGCGGACCCUUGUCUCACUUCGUGCUCAGCCCCCUAGUACUGAUGGCUAUGGAUCCAAGCAGCCGCUCGGUUUGGACGAUUCCGGACCUUCCUUCGCCUCCAAUGGUUCGCCGUCGUCG